This 491-nucleotide ribosomal RNA is filed under the name uncultured bacterium. RNAcentral describes it as "bacterial SSU rRNA". It matches the Rfam family "Bacterial small subunit ribosomal RNA", at positions 501 to 991 of the family's 1533-position model. The record is from RNAcentral.
CUACGUGCCAGCAGCCGCGGUAAUACGUAGGUGGCAAGCGUUGUCCGGAAUUAUUGGGCGUAAAGCGCGCGCAGGCGGAUCUGCCAGUCUGUCUUAAAAGUUCGGGGCUCAACCCCGUGAUGGGAUGGAAACUACAGAUCUAGAGUAUCGGAGGGGAAAGUGGAAUUCCUAGUGUAGCGGUGAAAUGCGUAGAUAUUAGGAAGAACACCAGUGGCGAAGGCGACUUUCUGGACGAAAACUGACGCUGAGGCGCGAAAGCCAGGGGAGCGAACCGGAUUAGAUACCCGGGUAGUCCACGCCGUAAACGAUGGAUACUAGCUGUUGGAGGUAUCGACCCCUUCAGUAGCGAAGCUAACGCGUUAAGUAUCCCGCCUGUGGAGUACGGCCGCAAGGCUAAAACAUAAAGGAAUUGACGGGGACCCGCACAAGCGGUGGAUUAUGUUCUUUAAUUCGAUGAUAACCGAAGAACCUUACCAGGGCUUGACAUCCAG